GGCGAGUGAAGCGGCAACAGCUCAAAUUUGAAAUCUGGCUCUUUCAGGGUCCGAGUUGUAAUUUGUAGAAGAUGCUUUGGGUGUGGCUCCGGUCUAAGUUCCUUGGAACAGGAUGUCAUAGAGGGUGAGAACCCCGUAUGUGACUGGCUGCCUCCCCCGUGUAAAGCUCUUUCGACGAGUCGAGUUGUUUGGGAAUGCAGCUCAAAAUGGGUGGUAAAUUUCAUCUAAAGCUAAAUAUUGGCCAGAGACCGAUAGCGCACAAGUAGAGUGAUCGAAAGAUGAAAAGCACUUUGGAAAGAGAGUUAAACAGUACGUGAAAUUGUUGAAAGGGAAGCGCUUGCAAUCAGACUUGCGCGCGGCCGAUCAUCCGAGGUUUUCCCCGGUGCACUCGACCGCGCUCAGGCCAGCAUCGGUUUCGGUGGUGGGAUAAAGGCCUUGGGAAUGUGGCUCCUUUCGGGGAGUGUUAUAGCCCUCGGUGCAAUGCCGCCUAUCGGGACCGAGGACCGCGCUUCGGCUAGGAUGCUGGCGUAAUGGUUGCAAGCGACCCGUCUUGAA
Molecule: ribosomal RNA, 555 nt
Filed under: Chalara pseudoaffinis
Lineage: Eukaryota; Fungi; Ascomycota; Leotiomycetes; Helotiales
Description: eukaryotic LSU rRNA
Rfam family: Eukaryotic large subunit ribosomal RNA
Source: RNAcentral